AUUGAACGCUGGCGGCAGGCCUAACACAUGCAAGUCGAACGAGCGGCGGACGGGUGAGUAAUGUCUGGGAAACUGCCUGAUGGAGGGGGAUAACUACUGGAAACGGUAGCUAAUACCGCAUACCAUCAGAUGUGCCCAGAUGGGAUUAGCUAGUUGGUGGGGUAAUGGCUCACCAAGGCGACGAUCCCUAGCUGGUCUGAGAGGAGUACCAGCCACACGGGAACUGAGACACGGUCCAGACGCCUACGGGAGGCAGCAGUGGGGAAUAUUGCAGAAUGGGCGCAAGCCUGAUGCAGCCAUGCCGAGUGUGUGAAGAAGGCCUUCGGGUUGUAAAGAUCUUUCAGCGAGGAGGCGUUACCCGCAGAAGAAGCACCGGCUAACUCCGUGCCAGCAGCCGCGGUAAUUC
Molecule: ribosomal RNA, 406 nt
Filed under: uncultured bacterium
Lineage: Bacteria
Description: partial 16S ribosomal RNA
Rfam family: Bacterial small subunit ribosomal RNA
Source: RNAcentral